GAAGUUUGAUUGAAGACAAAUUUUCAUAUUUGCGUUUCUACUUUUGAUUUUACAUAACACAGCGGACGUUUGUUACAGCCAAAUCAUCCCGCGUCAACUUAUGCCUAUCCACACCCUACAGUUGUAUGUACAGCAUAUUAAAGGGACAUUACAGCCUGGAAUACGCCAAAUUGGGCUACAAAACAAUAUCAAAUGGAAAGAGCAUUUAAAACAAGCUCGCAACAACAAAUUCCUCAUCACUUGCAACAACACCGUGAUGCCAGGCACGGCACAGUUACUACAACAUAGCACCUGCCUCAGAUUGUCUGCCCACCAGAACAACCCGACGACAGCAGCGCCUGUAACUGGUAUCCAGCAAGCUGGUGUCCUAUCCCCCCAUAGAUUGUCAGUUGUUACUCAACCCACCGGUUUGUGUCGUGACUGUGACGUCGCCUGCCGUUCAGCCAUUGGUCGGUGGCAAUCAAUUGACUGAGUUUGAUAUGAGCCGCAGGAUGUAUGACCAAGUUCCACCAUCCCUCCUUCAGUCUUCACUGACUGCAGGUGUCGUCAAUUUUUCAGGAGCUAUGAAGUCUCCUACGGACAUCCAGAAACGCAUCUUGCUUCAGCAUCUACGCCUGCAGCUGGAGUUGCUACAGGCUCAGCAACUACAACAAGCGUGCCUCCGGCUUAAUGUAAGACGAGGCAGAAACACAGAAAGGGGAGGGCAGGGCAUGGAUCUAGAGGAGCGGUGAUUAACGUGAAGAAGCUAUGUCACAUGCAGGAUGCUGAGAAAAGUAAAAAGCACAAGAACAACUCAACCGCCAGUCGACACAAACCCAGCCCAACAUUCAAAGUCGACGGGGCUAUGAAUCAUGUGCUGCAAUAUCCAACCUGGCGAUUGUAAACAACAACAACAGUAAUAACAAAUGUGACGGUGACUCUCAAGAUUGUUUGACCCAGCCCCAUGCACUAAACUCGUUACGGAAACGAAAAUCUUCCAAACGACCACGAAAAAGCAGCAGUGGAAUUGAUGCGUUCCGUGGAAUAACAGUCAGUGAUUCCGAGCCAGUAGUGGACAACAUCGGCCAUUGCUUUUGAAGUCGGCAAAGAGUCUGUACCCCUUGACUUGUCCUGCACUCUUAUGCCCACCUACAACACGGGGAACAUGAUUACCACCAAUGCCGCUUUCGAACCGACGACUGGGUUGUGGCAACGGAAACCAGGCUAUGAACAUGUCAACAUGAUAAACCAAUCCCAACGUCAAGGAUUUGAAUUUAGUCAGAUCCCAGAGGUAAGGUCCCCAGAGUCCACCUAUCUGUUGUACAGUUGCUGUGACGAUGAGGCAUGGUACCAGUCCUCACAGUCUGAUGAGGUGGAUAUGCUGCCCAAUCAGAGCUCAGCAUCUCCUGCUGCUGGCCAAUCAAAUGCCAGCAUGAGCUCGCCAAUGCAACCGUCAUUCUUUGCAAGGCUUGUGCACAGCGACCAACAGAAGUCCCUAUUUUAAAAUAAUAUUCACUUUGCAACCCAACUUGCAGUAAAUGAGUACCUGUAGUUAUAGAAAUAAGUGCAAGAGUUCUAUUUUUCAAACAUAAUUUCAUUGUUCUAAAUUGCCAGAUAGUUUUGUUUAUUUUGCCCAAGGUAAGCUUCAAAAUGACAGUGUAUUCCUGAAAUCCCUGUACGUUAUGUACAUUGUAUGUACACAACAGCUGAUGUUAAUUUACAUGUAUGUGAAUGUUUUACCUUUUAUAUUCAAACGAAAAGAAUCAGAUUUGAUCUUAGAUUGAACACGAGUGUAUACUGUUUUACAUCUGUGUAUGUUGUGUAAAACGUUUCAAUACACGUGUAUCAGAAUAUAUGUAUCAUCUGGAAUAAUUGCCCAGAGUACUGAGGCAAACGAAUAUGAACACUGUUGUGAUUCCUGUAUUUAUCAGGUGUACAUACUUGCCGUUUAGAGAAAAGUCAGCGUUUUUAUUAUUUUUUUUUAACAUUUAAAUAUUACUGUAGGCCUAAAGCUGGCUCCUUGAUUUUUUUUCGAUUUUGGCAAAAACAAAAACGAAAUUGCUUAAAACUUGCAGGGAAGAAGAUGCUUAGAGAACCUUUAAAUACAUUCUUAUUGUGCUUCCCAUGUGCUUCUCAACCGAACAUUGCAUCGAAAAUUUGGGGGAGAGCGGUUCAAAAUGACUUUUUUUUCUCAAUAGAUCAGUCAAUUUGUCCAAAUCUUCAAAUUUGUUGAGUAUAUUUCACCCUUAACACGCUACAUUGUUUUGGUUAAAUUAUUUUAUUGUUUGACGACCAAUGACUCUAUUACUUUAUCACACUAUUCCUUUAUUACAUGUACAUUAAAUGUUACAUACGAUAUCGUCUCCACAACGAGUUUGCUGGUUUUGUUCAAUGUAAGUUGACUCUAUUUUGCCAUGCAAUUUAUUUAUCGUGUUUAACACGCUACAUUGUUUCGAUUAUAACAAUUGUAUUGAUAAAUGAUUCCUCUUCAAAUUCAACAGAUUUGCGUUUUCUUUCUAGUUCAAUUAAUUUUCGAAAUUUCAAUUCAGUGCAGCGGAUACUUCUUGAGUUAGUCUGGAAACUGAGCGUGUUGUUUUUGUGUCAUGAAAGUUUACUCAAAAUACCAUAUAUUUUUUUCGCUUAACACGCUACAUUGUUUCGGUUAUAAUAGUUGUAUAUUGAUAAACGAUUCCUCUCCAAAUUCAUCAAAUUUGUAUUAUCUGUCUAGUUGAAAUAAUAGUCAAAAUUUAAAUUCAGUGCAGCAGAUACUUCUUGAGUUAUAUUCUGGAAACGAGUGUGUUGUUUUCGUGUCGUGAAAGUCGACACUAAAUUGCCAUUUUUUUCGCUGAACAUGCUACAUUGUUUCGGUUAUAAUAAUUGUAUUGAUUAUUAAUUGAUUCCCCUCCCAAUUCAACAGAUUUGCGUUAUCUAUCCAGUUUAAUCAAUGUAUGAAAUUUCAAUUCAAUGUAAGAGAUGUUUCUAGAGUUAUUUUUUGGAAACCGAGUAUGUUGCUCGUGUCAUGAAAGUUGAGUAAACUUCACCUUGUAUUUUUCAAGCUUAACACGCUAACAUGUUCGGGUUAAAAUUAUUUUUUAUUGUUUGACGAUCCUUCUCCAAUUUCAAACAGUUUGUGUAACCUAUGACGACAAAACACUCAAUAAAAUUUGACUUCAAUACAUAACAAAUUUCUUGAGA
RNAcentral lists this long non-coding RNA (3174 nucleotides) under Patiria miniata (bat star). Its description in RNAcentral is "uncharacterized LOC119743408". The record is from RNAcentral. Lineage: Eukaryota; Metazoa; Echinodermata; Asteroidea; Valvatida; Asterinidae.